This 570-nucleotide ribosomal RNA is filed under the name Vibrio sp. RNAcentral's name for it is "bacterial SSU rRNA". It matches the Rfam family "Bacterial small subunit ribosomal RNA", at positions 887 to 1457 of the family's 1533-position model. The record is from RNAcentral. Lineage: Bacteria; Pseudomonadati; Pseudomonadota; Gammaproteobacteria; Vibrionales; Vibrionaceae.
CGCAAGAUUAAAACUCAAAUGAAUUGACGGGGGCCCGCACAAGCGGUGGAGCAUGUGGUUUAAUUCGAUGCAACGCGAAGAACCUUACCUACUCUUGACAUCCUCAGAAGCUUGUAGAGAUACGAGUGUGCCUUCGGGAACUGAGAGACAGGUGCUGCAUGGCUGUCGUCAGCUCGUGUUGUGAAAUGUUGGGUUAAGUCCCGCAACGAGCGCAACCCUUAUCCUUGUUUGCCAGCACUUCGGGUGGGAACUCCAGGGAGACUGCCGGUGAUAAACCGGAGGAAGGUGGGGACGACGUCAAGUCAUCAUGGCCCUUACGAGUAGGGCUACACACGUGCUACAAUGGCGCAUACAGAGGGCGGCCAACUUGCGAGAGUGAGCGAAUCCCAAAAAGUGCGUCGUAGUCCGGAUUGGAGUCUGCAACUCGACUCCAUGAAGUCGGAAUCGCUAGUAAUCGUGGAUCAGAAUGCCACGGUGAAUACGUUCCCGGGCCUUGUACACACCGCCCGUCACACCAUGGGAGUGGGCUGCAAAAGAAGUGGGUAGUUUAACCUUCGGGGGGACGCUCAC